This 200-nucleotide ribosomal RNA is filed under the name uncultured bacterium. RNAcentral describes it as "partial 16S ribosomal RNA". It matches the Rfam family "Bacterial small subunit ribosomal RNA", at positions 28 to 238 of the family's 1533-position model. The record is from RNAcentral.
GACGAACGCUAGCGGCAGGCUUAAUACAUGCAAGGCGAAGGGGCAGCAAUGUCACAGUCGUACGGGUGCGUAACGCGUAUGCAACCUACCUAUCACUGGGGGAUAGCCCGGGGGAAACCCGGAUUAAUACCGCAUAACACAGGGGUCCCGCAUGGGUACUAUUUGUUAAAGAUUUAUCGGUGGUAGAUGGGCAUGCGUUC